This 202-nucleotide ribosomal RNA is filed under the name uncultured bacterium. RNAcentral's name for it is "partial 16S ribosomal RNA". It matches the Rfam family "Bacterial small subunit ribosomal RNA", at positions 1300 to 1500 of the family's 1533-position model. The record is from RNAcentral.
GCAGUCUGCAACUCGACUGCAUGAAGCCGGAAUCGCUAGUAAUCGCGGAUCAGAAUGCCGCGGUGAAUACGUUCCCGGGUCUUGUACACACCGCCCGUCACACCACGGGAGUCGGAAAUGCCCGAAGCCGGUGGCCUAACCGAUAAGGGAGGAGCCGUCGAAGGCAGGUCUGAUGACUGGGGUGAAGUCGUAACAAGGUAAC